This 465-nucleotide ribosomal RNA is filed under the name uncultured bacterium. Its description in RNAcentral is "partial 16S ribosomal RNA". It matches the Rfam family "Bacterial small subunit ribosomal RNA", at positions 28 to 507 of the family's 1533-position model. The record is from RNAcentral.
GACGAACGCUGGCGGCGUGCUUAACACAUGCAAGUCGAACGGAAAGGCCCUGCUUGCAGGGUACUCGAGUGGCGAACGGGUGAGUAACACGUGGGUGAUCUGCCCUGCACUUCGGGAUAAGCUUGGGAAACUGGGUCUAAUACCGGAUAGGACCGCACUUUAGUGUGUGUGGUGGAAAGUUUUUUCGGUGUAGGAUGAGCUCGCGGCCUAUCAGCUUGUUGGUGGGGUAGUGGCCUACCAAGGCGGCGACGGGUAGCCGGCCUGAGAGGGUGUACGGCCACAUUGGGACUGAGAUACGGCCCAGACUCCUACGGGAGGCAGCAGUGGGGAAUAUUGCACAAUGGGCGCAAGCCUGAUGCAGCGACGCCGCGUGGGGGAUGAAGGCCUUCGGGUUGUAAACUCCUUUCGCUAGGGACGAAGCUUUUUGUGACGGUACCUAGAUAAGAAGCACCGGCUAACUACGUG